RNAcentral lists this ribosomal RNA (115 nucleotides) under Deltaproteobacteria bacterium. Lineage: Bacteria; Pseudomonadati; Myxococcota; Myxococcia. The record is from RNAcentral.
CCUGGUGACCAAGGCGGAGGGGCCACACCCGAUACCAUCUCGAACUCGGAAGUUAAGCCCUCCAGCGCCGAUGAUACUGCGGUCAUAACCGUGGGAAACUAGGUCGUCGCCAGGA